GAAAAGUUAGUUUAUUAAAAACAUUGUUUUGUCAAAACAAAAAAAUAUUAAUUUAUACUUUUUU
Molecule: transfer RNA, 64 nt
Filed under: Agramma hupehanum
Lineage: Eukaryota; Metazoa; Arthropoda; Insecta; Hemiptera; Tingidae
Description: tRNA-Asp
Source: RNAcentral